GGGUUGUGAGGUUAAGCGACUAAGCGUACACGGUGGAUGCCCUGGCAGUCAGAGGCGAUGAAGGACGUGCUAAUCUGCGAAAAGCGUCGGUAAGGUGAUAUGAACCGUUACAGCCGGCGAUGUCCGAAUGGGGAAACCCAGUGCAAUUCGUUGCACUAUCGUUAACUGAAUACAUAGGUUAACGAGGCGAACCGGGGGAACUGAAACAUCUAAGUACCCCGAGGAAAAGAAAUCAACCGAGAUUCCCCCAGUAGCGGCGAGCGAACGGGGAGCAGCCCAGAGUCUGAAUCAGCUUGUGUGUUAGUGGAACGGUCUGGAAAGUCCGACGGUACAGGGUGAUAGUCCCGUACACCAAAAUGCACAGGCUGUGAACUCGAAGAGUAGGGCGGGACACGUGGUAUCCUGUCUGAAUAUGGGGGGACCAUCCUCCAAGGCUAAAUACUCCUGACUGACCGAUAGUGAACCAGUACCGUGAGGGAAAGGCGAAAAGAACCCCGGCGAGGGGAGUGAAAAAGAACCUGAAACCGUGUACGUACAAGCAGUGGGAGCACCUUCGGGUGUGACUGCGUACCUUUUGUAUAAUGGGUCAGCGACUUAUAUUCUGUAGCAAGGUUAACCGUAUAGGGGAGCCGCAGGGAAACCGAGUCUUAACUGGGCGUUAAGUUGCAGGGUAUAGACCCGAAACCCGGUGAUCUAGCCAUGGGCAGGUUGAAGGUUGGGUAACACUAACUGGAGGACCGAACCGACUAAUGUUGAAAAAUUAGCGGAUGACUUGUGGCUGGGGGUGAAAGGCCAAUCAAACCGGGAGAUAGCUGGUUCUCCCCGAAAGCUAUUUAGGUAGCGCCUCGUGAAUUCAUCUUCGGGGGUAGAGCACUGUUUCGGCUAGGGGGUCAUCCCGACUUACCAACCCGAUGCAAACUACGAAUACCGAAGAAUGUUAUCACGGGAGACACACGGCGGGUGCUAACGUCCGUCGUGAAGAGGGAAACAACCCAGACCGCCAGCUAAGGUCCCAAAGUCAUGGUUAAGUGGGAAACGAUGUGGGAAGGCACAGACAGCCAGGAUGUUGGCUUAGAAGCAGCCAUCAUUUAAAGAAAGCGUAAUAGCUCACUGGUCGAGUCGGCCUGCGCGGAAGAUGUAACGGGGCUAAACCAUGCACCGAAGCUGCGGCAGCGACACUAUGUGUUGUUGGGUAGGGGAGCGUUCUGUAAGCCUGCGAAGGUGACCUGUGAGGGUUGCUGGAGGUAUCAGAAGUGCGAAUGCUGACAUAAGUAACGAUAAAGCGGGUGAAAAGCCCGCUCGCCGGAAGACCAAGGGUUCCUGUCCAACGUUAAUCGGGGCAGGGUGAGUCGACCCCUAAGGCGAGGCCGAAAGGCGUAGUCGAUGGGAAACAGGUUAAUAUUCCUGUACUUGGUGUUACUGCGAAGGGGGGACGGAGAAGGCUAUGUUAGCCGGGCGACGGUUGUCCCGGUUUAAGCAUGUAGGCUGGUUGUCCAGGCAAAUCCGGAUAAUCAAGGCUGAGGUGUGAUGACGAGGCACUACGGUGCUGAAGUAACAAAUGCCCUGCUUCCAGGAAAAGCCUCUAAGCAUCAGGUAACAUUAAAUCGUACCCCAAACCGACACAGGUGGUCAGGUAGAGAAUACCAAGGCGCUUGAGAGAACUCGGGUGAAGGAACUAGGCAAAAUGGUGCCGUAACUUCGGGAGAAGGCACGCUGGUGUGUAGGUGAAGUCCCUGCGGAUGGAGCUGAGACCAGUCGAAGAUACCAGCUGGCUGCAACUGUUUAUUAAAAACACAGCACUGUGCAAACACGAAAGUGGACGUAUACGGUGUGACGCCUGCCCGGUGCCGGAAGGUUAAUUGAUGGGGUUAUCCGUAAGGAGAAGCUCUUGAUCGAAGCCCCGGUAAACGGCGGCCGUAACUAUAACGGUCCUAAGGUAGCGAAAUUCCUUGUCGGGUAAGUUCCGACCUGCACGAAUGGCGUAAUGAUGGCCAGGCUGUCUCCACCCGAGACUCAGUGAAAUUGAACUCGCUGUGAAGAUGCAGUGUACCCGCGGCAAGACGGAAAGACCCCGUGAACCUUUACUAUAGCUUGACACUGAACAUUGAGCCUUGAUGUGUAGGAUAGGUGGGAGGCUUUGAAGCGUGGACGCCAGUCUGCGUGGAGCCAACCUUGAAAUACCACCCUUUAAUGUUUGAUGUUCUAACGUUGGCCCCUGACCGGGGUUGCGGACAGUGUCUGGUGGGUAGUUUGACUGGGGCGGUCUCCUCCCAAAGCGUAACGGAGGAGCACGAAGGUUAGCUAAUCCUGGUCGGACAUCAGGAGGUUAGUGCAAUGGCAUAAGCUAGCUUGACUGCGAGCGUGACGGCGCGAGCAGGUGCGAAAGCAGGUCAUAGUGAUCCGGUGGUUCUGAAUGGAAGGGCCAUCGCUCAACGGAUAAAAGGUACUCCGGGGAUAACAGGCUGAUACCGCCCAAGAGUUCAUAUCGACGGCGGUGUUUGGCACCUCGAUGUCGGCUCAUCACAUCCUGGGGCUGAAGUAGGUCCCAAGGGUAUGGCUGUUCGCCAUUUAAAGUGGUACGCGAGCUGGGUUUAGAACGUCGUGAGACAGUUCGGUCCCUAUCUGCCGUGGGCGCUGGAGAAUUGAGGGGGGCUGCUCCUAGUACGAGAGGACCGGAGUGGACGCAUCACUGGUGUUCGGGUUGUCAUGCCAAUGGCACUGCCCGGUAGCUAAAUGCGGAAGAGAUAAGUGCUGAAAGCAUCUAAGCACGAAACUUGCCCCGAGAUGAGUUCUCCCUGAGACUUUAAGUCUCCUGAAGGAACGUUGAAGACGACGACGUUGAUAGGCCGGGUGUGUAAGCGCAGCGAUGCGUUGAGCUAACCGGUACUAAUGAACCGUGAGGCUUAACCUUACAACGCCGAAG
RNAcentral lists this ribosomal RNA (2923 nucleotides) under Klebsiella pneumoniae. RNAcentral describes it as "23S ribosomal RNA". It matches the Rfam family "Bacterial large subunit ribosomal RNA". The record is from RNAcentral. Lineage: Bacteria; Pseudomonadati; Pseudomonadota; Gammaproteobacteria; Enterobacterales; Enterobacteriaceae.